This 278-nucleotide ribosomal RNA is filed under the name uncultured bacterium. RNAcentral describes it as "partial 16S ribosomal RNA". It matches the Rfam family "Bacterial small subunit ribosomal RNA", at positions 29 to 334 of the family's 1533-position model. The record is from RNAcentral.
AACGAACGCUGGCGGCAGGCCUAACACAUGCAAGUCGAACGAACCCUUCGGGGUGAGUGGCGCACGGGUGCGUAACGCGUGGGAAUAUACCCUUAGGUGCGGAACAACAGUUGGAAACGACUGCUAAUACCGCAUAAUGACUCCGGUCCAAAGAUUUAUCGCCUAGGGAUUAGCCCGCGUCUGAUUAGUUUGUUGGUGAGGUAACGGCUCACCAAGACGAUGAUCAGUAGGGGGUCUGAGAGGAUGAUCCCCCACACUGGAACUGAGACACGGUCCAG